This 468-nucleotide ribosomal RNA is filed under the name uncultured bacterium. RNAcentral's name for it is "partial 16S ribosomal RNA". It matches the Rfam family "Bacterial small subunit ribosomal RNA", at positions 28 to 507 of the family's 1533-position model. The record is from RNAcentral.
GACGAACGCUGGCGGCGUGCUUAACACAUGCAAGUCGAACGGAAAGGCCCUGCUUUUGUGGGGCGCUCGAUUGGCGAACGGGGGAGUAACACGUGUGUAACCUGCCCUUGUCUUUGGGAUAACUUCAGGAAACUGGGGCGAAUAUCGGAUAGGAUCUCCUGCUGCGUGGUGGGGGUUGGAAAGUUUCGGCGGUUGGGGAUGUACUCGCGGCUUAUCAGCUGGUUGGUGGGGUAGUUGCGUACCAAGGGUUUGACGGGUAGCCGGCAUGGGAGGGGGAACGGCCACCUUGGGACUGAGAUACGGCGCAGUCUGCUACGGGAGGCAGCAGUGGGGAACAUUGCACAAUGGGCGGACGCCUGAUGCGGCAACGCUGCGUGCGGGAUGACGGCCUUCGGGUUGUAAACCGAUUUCGACUGUGACGAGGCGGUAGUGACGGUAACGGGUAAAGAAGCACCGGCUAACUACGUG